Molecule: ribosomal RNA, 163 nt
Filed under: Pleurospermum franchetianum
Lineage: Eukaryota; Viridiplantae; Streptophyta; Magnoliopsida; Apiales; Apiaceae
Also listed under: 1 other name
Description: 5.8S ribosomal RNA
Rfam family: 5.8S ribosomal RNA
About the family: 5.8S ribosomal RNA (5.8S rRNA) is a component of the large subunit of the eukaryotic ribosome. It is transcribed by RNA polymerase I as part of the 45S precursor that also contains 18S and 28S rRNA.
Source: RNAcentral
AAACGACUCUCGGCAACGGAUAUCCCGGCUCUCGCAUCGAUGAAGAACGUAGCGAAAUGCGAUACUUGGUGUGAAUUGCAGAAUCCCGUGAACCAUCGAGUCUUUGAACGCAAGUUGCGCCCGAAGCCACUAGGUUGAGGGCACGUCUGCCUGGGUGUCACGC